GACCUUCCUUUAAUCUGCCCUCUCUUCCUCAGCCAAAGUGAUCUUUCUUUUUUUUUUAAUUUUUAAAAAAUGUUUGUUUAUUUUUGAGAGAGACAGAGACACAAUGUGAGUGGGUUAGGAGCAGAGAGAGAGACACACACAAAAUCUGAAGCAGGCUCCAGGUUCUGAGCCAUCAGCACAGAGCCUGAUGCAGGGCUCCAACUCACAGAGCUGUGAGAUCAUGACCUGAGCCGAAGUCAGAUGCUCAACCGACUGAGCCACCCAGGCGCCCCCAGAGUGAUCUUUCUAAAACACUUUGCAGAUUAAGUGACUCCAUUGCCCCCCAACUUUCCCUACAUCCCCAAGACUAUGGCAUGAAGUGGAGAUUUGUUAGCCUGGUGUUCAAGAGUCCCCAUGGCCUGGCUUCUUGCUCCUAUCCUCAGCACUGUGAGCCAUCCUGAGGGUCCUGAUGUUGCCUGAGUAUUCCAUACUAUUUCACACACCUCUCCUAUCCACUGAUUGUUUCAUCCAUUUAGAAUUUUAGUUUCUUCUUUUUUCUUGAUGAAUUUCUUUUUGUUCUUUAAGAUCUGGCUCGUGUCACCAAAGCCUAGAUGCCCUCCCCCUGACCACACUACUCUCACCCAGGUCCAGAUCAGAAGAGUCAAAGGAGAUCCACUGGUUGACCAGGAUUAAGACAUGGUAUCAGAGAUCAUGCACAGUGGCAUUUAAUGAUCACAUAUCAAGGUACGUUGCACUCAAAAUUUAAAAUAAGAAUGUUUGCCAAUAAGGUUUAUAGGGAAAUAAUUGUAUACGUUUCUCUGCUUUCAGAGGUAUAGUCCAACUGUCAAUGUCAGAAUGCUUUUGGUUAUAUAAACUUUAAAAACUCAACUAAAAAUGAUGAGUAAUAAGGAACAUCUGUAUCUCACAUAACAAGGUAUUUGGAAGUUUAGUGGUUCCAGCUUUGAUUAAUGUAGUGUUCAAAUGAUAUUAUCAAGGUCCUAGGUUCUCUCCAUUUCUCCUCUAUAAGCUAUUGGAUUGUCUUUAAGCUGAAUUUCCUCAUGGCCCCAAGAUGGCUGCCAUUCUGCCCACUCUCAAAUACAGAUAGCAAGAUCCAAAGGCAGCAAAUGGUUUGUUUCCUUUUGUGUGUCUCUUGCUAUCAAUAAAGAAUGUUUUCCAUGAACUCCCA
Molecule: long non-coding RNA, 1165 nt
Filed under: Felis catus (domestic cat)
Lineage: Eukaryota; Metazoa; Chordata; Mammalia; Carnivora; Felidae
Description: lncRNA (ENSFCAG00000051073.1)
Source: RNAcentral